Long non-coding RNA from Haliotis rubra (blacklip abalone), 73 nucleotides. RefSeq lists it as uncharacterized. The transcript has 3 exons. The record is from RefSeq and is a predicted model, not a curated record. Lineage: Eukaryota; Metazoa; Mollusca; Gastropoda; Lepetellida; Haliotidae.
GUGAUAUUAAAGGUGGGGUAACUUACUUUGUACAUUAAUUUUAGGGGGGCAGUCACAUUGUACAUGCUUCUCC